RNAcentral lists this ribosomal RNA (253 nucleotides) under uncultured bacterium. RNAcentral's name for it is "partial 16S ribosomal RNA". It matches the Rfam family "Bacterial small subunit ribosomal RNA", at positions 524 to 776 of the family's 1533-position model. The record is from RNAcentral.
UACGUAGGGUGCAAGCGUUGUCCGGAAUUAUUGGGCGUAAAGAGCUCGUAGGCGGUUCGUCGCGUCGAAUGUGAAAACCCGGGGCUCAACUCCGGGCCUGCAUUUGAUACGGGCGGACUAGAGUUCGGUAGGGGAGACUGGAAUUCCUGGUGUAGCGGUGAAAUGCGCAGAUAUCAGGAGGAACACCGGUGGCGAAGGCGGGUCUCUGGGCCGAUACUGACGCUGAGGAGCGAAAGCGUGGGGAGCGAACAGG